RNAcentral lists this transfer RNA (76 nucleotides) under Eubacteriales Family XIII. Incertae Sedis bacterium. RNAcentral describes it as "tRNA-Arg". It matches the Rfam family "tRNA". From Rfam's summary of the family: Transfer RNA (tRNA) molecules are approximately 80 nucleotides in length. Their secondary structure includes four short double-helical elements and three loops (D, anti-codon, and T loops). Further hydrogen bonds mediate the characteristic L-shaped molecular structure. tRNAs have two regions of fundamental functional importance: the anti-codon, which is responsible for specific mRNA codon recognition, and the 3' end, to which the tRNAs corresponding amino acid is attached (by aminoacyl-tRNA synthetases). tRNAs cope with the degeneracy of the genetic code in two manners: having more than one tRNA (with a specific anti-codon) for a particular amino acid; and 'wobble' base-pairing, i.e. permitting non-standard base-pairing at the 3rd anti-codon position. The record is from RNAcentral. Lineage: Bacteria; Bacillati; Bacillota; Clostridia; Peptostreptococcales; Anaerovoracaceae.
GCUCGUGUAGCUCAGGGGAUAGAGCACCGCUCUCCUAAAGCGGGUGUCGGACGUUCGAAUCGUCUCACGAGCGCCA